UUACGGCCACACCACGUUGAAACACUGGUUCCCGUACGAUCACCGAAGUUAAACAAUGUCGAGCCUGGUCAGUAUCUAAAUGGGUGACCGCUUGAGAAUACCAGGUGUUAUAA
Acanthosepion pharaonis is the source of this 113-nucleotide non-coding RNA. NCBI's taxonomy places the organism in Eukaryota, Metazoa, Mollusca, Cephalopoda, Sepiida, Sepiidae. The record is from the annotation of a GenBank genome assembly.